Molecule: non-coding RNA, 38 nt
Filed under: Schistosoma margrebowiei
Lineage: Eukaryota; Metazoa; Platyhelminthes; Trematoda; Strigeidida; Schistosomatidae
Source: RNAcentral
AUCCAGCUGACGAGUCCCAAAUAGGGCGAAACGUGCAU